Molecule: ribosomal RNA, 810 nt
Filed under: Subramaniula asteroides
Lineage: Eukaryota; Fungi; Ascomycota; Sordariomycetes; Sordariales; Chaetomiaceae
Description: eukaryotic LSU rRNA
Rfam family: Eukaryotic large subunit ribosomal RNA
Source: RNAcentral
UUGCCCUAGUAACGGCGAGUGAAGCGGCAACAGCUCAAAUUUGAAAUCUGGCUUCGGCCCGAGUUGUAAUUUGCAGAGGAAGCUUUAGGCGCGGCACCAUCUGAGUCCCCUGGAACGGGGCGCCAUAGAGGGUGAGAGCCCCGUAUAGAUGGACGCUAAGCCUGUGUAAAGCUCCUUCGACGAGUCGAGUAGUUUGGGAAUGCUGCUCAAAAUGGGAGGUAAAUUUCUUCUAAAGCUAAAUACCGGCCAGAGACCGAUAGCGCACAAGUAGAGUGAUCGAAAGAUGAAAAGCACUUUGAAAAGAGGGUUAAAUAGCACGUGAAAUUGUUGAAAGGGAAGCGCUUGUGACCAGACUUGCGCCGGGCUGAUCAUCCGGUGUUCUCACCGGUGCACUCUGCCCGGCUCAGGCCAGCAUCGGUUCUCGCGGGGGGAUAAAGGCCCUGGGAACGUAGCUCCUCCGGGAGUGUUAUAGCCCAGGGUGUAAUGCCCUCGCGGGGACCGAGGUUCGCGCAUCUGCAAGGAUGCUGGCGUAAUGGUCAUCAGCGACCCGUCUUGAAACACGGACCAAGGAGUCAAGGUUUUGCGCGAGUGUUUGGGUGUAAAACCCGCACGCGUAAUGAAAGUGAACGUAGGUGAGAGCUUCGGCGCAUCAUCGACCGAUCCUGAUGUUUUCGGAUGGAUUUGAGUAGGAGCGUUAAGCCUUGGACCCGAAAGAUGGUGAACUAUGCUUGGAUAGGGUGAAGCCAGAGGAAACUCUGGUGGAGGCUCGCAGCGGUUCUGACGUGCAAAUCGAUCGUCAAAUCUGAGCAU